RNAcentral lists this transfer RNA (73 nucleotides) under Acanthoscelides obtectus. Its description in RNAcentral is "hypothetical protein". The record is from RNAcentral. Lineage: Eukaryota; Metazoa; Arthropoda; Insecta; Coleoptera; Chrysomelidae.
GCCUUUGUAGCCCAAGUGGUAAAGCACUGGACCUGUAAACAAGUGGUCGUGAGUUCAAUCCUCAUAAGGGGAA